UCUGUAUAAUGAGGUGGUUUGGUGUAGUGUUCUGUAUAAUGAGGUGGUUGUGUGUAGUGUACUGUAUAAUGAGGUGGUUGUGUGUAGUGUCCUAUGUAAUGAGGUGGUUGUGUGUAGUGUUCUGUAUAAUGAGGUGGUUGUGUGUAGUGUACUGUAUAAUGAGGUGGUUUGGUGUAGUGUCCUAUGUAAUGAGGUGGUUGUGUGUAGUGUUCUGUAUAAUGAGGUGGUUAUGUGUAGUGUUCUGUAUAAUGAGGUGGUUUGGUGUAGUGUUCUGUAUAGUGAGGUGGUUUGGUGUAGUGUUCUGUAUAAUGAGGUGGUUUGGUGUAGUGUUCUGUAUAAUGAGGUGGUUUGGUGUAGUGUACUGUAUA
Long non-coding RNA from Oncorhynchus keta (chum salmon), 368 nucleotides. RefSeq lists it as uncharacterized. Lineage: Eukaryota; Metazoa; Chordata; Actinopteri; Salmoniformes; Salmonidae. The record is from RefSeq and is a predicted model, not a curated record. The transcript is spliced from 3 exons.